Molecule: ribosomal RNA, 758 nt
Filed under: uncultured fungus
Lineage: Eukaryota; Fungi
Description: SSU rRNA
Rfam family: Eukaryotic small subunit ribosomal RNA
Source: RNAcentral
GCAUGGAAUAAUAAAAUAGGACGUGUGGUUCUAUUUGUUGGUUUCUAGGACCGCCGUAAUGAUUAAUAGGGAUAGUCGGGGGCAUCAGUAUUCAAUUGUCAGAGGUGAAAUUCUUGGAUUUAUUGAAGACUAACUACUGCGAAAGCAUCUGCCAUUGAUGUUUUCAUUAAUCAGUGAGCGAAAGUUAGGGGGUCGAAGACGAUCAGAUACCGUCGUAGUCUUAACCACAAACUAUGCCGACUAGGGAUCGGGCGAUGUUAUCUUUUUGACUCGCUCGGCACCUUACGAGAAAUCAAAGUUUUUGGGUUCUGGGGGGAGUAUGGUCUCAAGGCUGAAACUUAAAGAAAUUGACGGAGGGGCACCACCAGGAGUGGAGCCUGCGGCUUAAUUUGACUCAACACGGGGAAACUCACCAGGUCCAGACACAAUAAGGAUUGACAGAUUGAGAGCUCUUUCUUGAUUUUGUGGGUGGUGGUGCAUGGCCAUUCUUAGUUGGUGGAGUGAUUUGUCUGCUUAAUUGCGAUAACGAACGAGACCUUAACCUGCUAAAUAGCCCGGCUAGCUUUGGCUGGUCGCUGGCUUCUUAGAGGGACUAUCGGCUCAAGCCGAUGGAAGUUUGAGGCGAUAACAGGUCUGUGAUGCCCUUAGAUGUUCUGGGCCGCACGCGCGCUACACUGACAGAGCCAACGAGUUCAUCACCUUGGCCGAAAGGCCUGGGUAAUCUUGUUACACUCUGUCGUGCUGGGGAUAGAGCAUUG